Molecule: ribosomal RNA, 487 nt
Filed under: Rinodina capensis
Lineage: Eukaryota; Fungi; Ascomycota; Lecanoromycetes; Caliciales; Physciaceae
Description: partial small subunit ribosomal RNA
Rfam family: Bacterial small subunit ribosomal RNA
Source: RNAcentral
UAUGUUCUUGACCAAAUUACGUGCCAGCAGUCGCGGUAACACGUAGCAAGACUAGUGUUAUUCAUCUUUAAUAGGUUUAAAGGGUACCUAGACGGUAAAUCAAGUCCGAAAAGGAUACUAAUUUACUAGAGUUUAAUGUGAGGGGGCACUAAAGUACUGAUAAGUGUAGAGAUGAAAUUCUGUGAUACAAUAUACGGCACUGGUAAAGGCGAAAGCAUCUCAUUAUGUAAUAACUGACGUUGAGGGACGAAGGCUAGGUGUAGCAAAAAGGAUUAGAUACCCAAGUAGUCUUAGCAGAAAAUUAUGAAUGUCAUAGGAUAGAAAAAUGGACAAAAAAUUUUUUUUCUAUAAAUGAAAGUGUAAGCAUUCCACCUCGAGAGUAAUUUGGCAACAUUGGAACUGAAAUCAUUAGACCGUUUCUGAAACAAGUAGUGAAGUAUGUUGUUUAAUUUGAUAGCCGCAAAAAACCUUACCACAAUUUGAAUAG